Molecule: long non-coding RNA, 3108 nt
Filed under: Citrus x clementina
Lineage: Eukaryota; Viridiplantae; Streptophyta; Magnoliopsida; Sapindales; Rutaceae
Description: Citrus clementina (C. clementina) long non-coding RNA (CCLE_LNC003610)
Source: RNAcentral
UUAUGUAUAUCAUUUUCAAUUUAUAAAAUAAGUUCUUUAAUUUUCAAGACUUAGCUAAAAUAAUUUUUAAAAGUUUAUUAUAGCCACUGUGACAUUAUGAAAAUCUAACACUAUAUAGUAACAAACAACAUUUUUUAAUAUGAUUUUGCAUAUUUAAUUAACUUAUCUUUUUCAAAUGGCCCUUUGUUCUUAAAUUUGUUGGCAUUUUUUUACAAAUAAAAUUAUAAUGUCCUAUUAAUUUAUCCAAUGUACUUAAAGAUUAAUGAAAUAAAAAUUUCCAAUACAAGAAUGAAAGCUUCUAUCACUUAAAUAGUUAUUGACAAUAGUGAACUGAUAUGAAGGCUACUAAAAAGUUAGAAUUGCUGAGGGAAACGAGUAUAAAACCACUUCUAUUGAGAAUUUUUUUUUACAAACUCACGAGAAAAUAACUCUUUAAAAACUUUUAACAUCAAUAAAACUAAUGCAAAGUUAAAUCCAUUUUGUUAGCCCUAAAUUGAUAUUCUUUAUUUGUUAUUUUUUAUCAAUCUUAGAAUACAUAUCAAGUGUUUCAUAUUGAUUUAUGGAGAAGCAAAACAAUGUUGAGAAUAAUUUAAAUCGCAAAGAGGUAUGAAUUUCUUAACAUACCUUCCACACCAUGAUUUGAGGCCAUUUUAUUCUUUUGAUAGUAUUAUUCUAGCAUUUAAGAUGACGUCAUAGGUGUAAUAAGUAAAAACACUAUUAUUAUACGAAAUGGAUUUAGUAAUGAUAUAUUGGGUCCUUAAAAUGGGUUUGUUGAGUAAAAUUUAAAAUUUUAAAAUUUAAGGAUGAGUUUAUUUAGUAAAUGGGUUUAAUGGGUAGAUUGAUUAAUUCAAAUAAAUGAGUUUAAACAAAGAAUUAAACCAUUGGCACCUCUUUAAAAAUUUAUUAAAACCCUCUUACAUUUCACCCAAAACUGAAAUUACCUAAAAAGACAUUAUAUUUGAUAAAACUCUCAUAAUUGAUUUCAGUGAAAACUCUUUAUUCCCUAUAAAACUUGCAUGUCUUCUAAAUUUCAAUCAAAAUAAACUAGGAAGCCAACAAUGUCCCAAAUUUUAGGCCAACUAACAACUAGACAGGUAUCAAUUCCUAAAAAUUCAAAAUCUUGUAGAACAAUAAAAACAACAAACAUAAAUCGCAAAGAGUUGUGAAGUUAAGAAGCAAUUGUGCCAAAAGGAACAUUGUCCUUAAAAAACAAAUUUUGUCUAUCUCAGUGUGUAAAGGGAAUUGAAAACAGUCGAAACAUCAAGAUUCAAUUAUAGUGAUGCACUCAAAACUACAAUUGCUUUAGAACAACUUGUUUUAUUAUUUUUAUUAUUUUUGGCUAACUGUGAGUGUUGGGACAAGAAAUUCCUUUGGCGAAAACCAUCACCUAUAAUUUGAGAACAUUCAUGUUGUAUCACCAAGAAUUAAUAAUAAAUUAUGUAGAAGCGUACCUAAAUCUAUAGUACUUUAUUGCUCUCUGGAGUUGUGUGAUUGGCCUUCCAAAUCUACAUAUUCUCUAUGAGAAUCCUUUAAUUUUUGUUGCGCUCUCUUUUUCUGAUGAUGAGAUGUCAGAAAUAGUAAAAAGAUACAUGUGACCUGAGGACCAUGACCACUUAUAUAUACAACUUUUCUUAUUAUUUUUAGGUAUUUCUAUUUCAACUCAUCAUAGAAAUAGAAAUUACCUUUUAUGUCUCUAUACAUUAAAAGCUCACACCUUAUUAAAUGAUGCAUUAAAGCCUAAAUUACUGAAAACCGUAACAGAUCAUUUUUAAUUAGGCUUAAUCCUAUAUGACAGUUUACAACACAUAAUUAUUUACAAUAUAAGCUUAAUGUUGAAUUAAAGAUCUAACAAUAUUAGAUUACAAAUCCAACUAUAUCUCCCACUUGAAGUAAGAAGAAAGAGGAAGAAGACAAAUUGAAUGCAAAAACAACAUGUUUGUAAUAAGAAUUUCCCAACCGCUGCCAGUGUUUAUUACUAUUUAGGCUUAUUUUAGGGAUAAGUGAGUGUUAUAAAAUUGUUUAAAUUGUUUCUUAAUAUUUUAAUGGGGUUAUUUGAGAAUAAGAGUUCUAACAGUUUUCUUUUUCUUUUUUUUUUGGAAGAGUGAUAAUAUAUCCAAUCUUAAACAAAUCAAGUUGUCUUCAAAUUAUAACUAAUGUGAACUCUAUGUAGUUAUCCUUUUAGGUAGGUUUCCAAAAAUUGUGGGUAGAAAUAAUUGUAUGACAAGAAUGGGUGCAUUUUCAAUAUGCAUGACAUAUGGUUUAGAAAUUUUCUACACAUAAAUGACCUACAAUAAAACCUUGUAAAAUAAUAUUUGAUAAAUUGAUAAUUAAUUAAUUUAAAACAAAAAAUAUAUGAUGUAUCUAUGAUUUUUUUGUUAUAUUAACAUAAUAUUUUAUACAUUUCAUUGGUCAUUAUGUUUUUUUUUCACCGCUUAUAGAUGAUAAACCUUGUAUUCUAUAUGUUAUGUUAGGAAAAAUAAUAGAGAGAUUGGCCUAAUAAAUUAUCUCCAAAAUAUCUUUUCUUAUGAGUAAUUCACUUAAUCAAGAUCAAACCAUGAUCAUAUCAUAUAAUUUGAUAUAAUCACCAUAUUCUUUAAUUAGACUAUCGUAUUUAAUAAAAAAAUUUACUUUAUUUUAAAACUUUUUAAUAAAGAAUAAAUUUUAAGUAGUGCGCUACUCAUUGAUUUCAUUUUAAGAAAAGAUGGUCAAAAGUCUUAUGAAAUUAAAAAAAAAAAAUUAUGGAUCGAAUUCCAUGCAAGUAAACACCAAGAAUGAUUUCUAUUCCCCGUUCUGGCAGGCAAACACAUCCUCAACUCCAAAAACAUUUUUAUGGAAGCAGUAUUCAUCAUUGUAUAAUGCCUUAUUUAAUGCCCUUGUGAAAUUAUUCUCUUUUAAAUCAAUAGACCUCAGUGAAAGUGUAACUUUGCAGCAAUUUGUGAUUGAAGAGAAUUCAAGUACUAAAAAGUCACAGGCAUUCAAAAAUAAUUUAUUUUGAAGUGAUUUAAUUACAUAAUGAGUUUAGGACUAGUUUAGUAAUACUGUAGUUUUUAAAAUAAUUAUUAUUAGUUGUACUAUAAAAAUAAUCACGUAUGAAAAGAAUUAAUUAAA